RNAcentral lists this ribosomal RNA (253 nucleotides) under uncultured bacterium. Its description in RNAcentral is "partial 16S ribosomal RNA". It matches the Rfam family "Bacterial small subunit ribosomal RNA", at positions 524 to 776 of the family's 1533-position model. The record is from RNAcentral.
UACGAAGGGGGCUAGCGUUGUUCGGAAUUACUGGGCGUAAAGGGCGCGUAGGCGGCGCGUUAAGUCAGGUGUGAAAGCCCUGGGCUCAACCCAGGAAUUGCACUUGAUACUGACGUGCUUGAAUCCGGAAGAGGAUGACGGAAUUCCCAGUGUAGAGGUGAAAUUCAUUGAUAUUGGGAAGAACACCAGUGGCGAAGGCGGUCAUCUGGUCCGGUAUUGACGCUGAGGCGCGAAAGCGUGGGGAGUAAACAGG